CCUGGUGGCUCAGAUGGUAAAGCAUCUGCCCGCAAUGCAGGAGACCUGGGUUCAAUCCCUGGGUCAGGA
Molecule: transfer RNA, 69 nt
Filed under: Bos taurus (domestic cattle)
Lineage: Eukaryota; Metazoa; Chordata; Mammalia; Artiodactyla; Bovidae
Also listed under: 5 other names
Rfam family: tRNA
About the family: Transfer RNA (tRNA) molecules are approximately 80 nucleotides in length. Their secondary structure includes four short double-helical elements and three loops (D, anti-codon, and T loops). Further hydrogen bonds mediate the characteristic L-shaped molecular structure. tRNAs have two regions of fundamental functional importance: the anti-codon, which is responsible for specific mRNA codon recognition, and the 3' end, to which the tRNAs corresponding amino acid is attached (by aminoacyl-tRNA synthetases). tRNAs cope with the degeneracy of the genetic code in two manners: having more than one tRNA (with a specific anti-codon) for a particular amino acid; and 'wobble' base-pairing, i.e. permitting non-standard base-pairing at the 3rd anti-codon position.
Source: Rfam by way of RNAcentral